UGAGUGGCGAACGGGUGAGUAACACGUGAGUAACCUGCCCCUUCUUUGGGAUAACGCCCGGAAGCGGGUGCUAAUACUGGAUAUUCACUGAUCUUCGCAUGGGGGUUGGUGGAAAGGUUUGUUCUGGUGGGGGAUGGGCUCGCGGCCUAUCAGCUUGUUGGUGGGGUGAUGGCCUACCAAGGCUUUGACGGGUAGCCGGCCUGAGAGGGUGACCGGUCACAUUGGGACUGAGAUACGGCCCAG
RNAcentral lists this ribosomal RNA (243 nucleotides) under uncultured bacterium. RNAcentral's name for it is "partial 16S ribosomal RNA". It matches the Rfam family "Bacterial small subunit ribosomal RNA", at positions 92 to 334 of the family's 1533-position model. The record is from RNAcentral.